GUAAAUAAUUAAGGGCGUAUGGUGGAUGCCUAGGCUCUCAGAGGCGAAGAAGGACGUGAUAAGCUGCGAAAAGCUCCGUUUAGGUGCAAAUAACCUUUGAUGCGGAGAUCUCCGAAUGGGAUAACCCAAUAUGUUGAAGACAUAUUAUACCGUAAGGUAGGCAAACGCAGGGAACUGAAACAUCUAAGUACCUGCAGGAGAAGAAAACAAACGUGAUUCCCCCAGUAGCGGCGAGCGACCGGGGAUAAGCCCAAACCGUUAUUGUUUCGGCAGUAGCGGGGUAGUAGGACUGCGACAUUGAUGAAAUAAAUGAAAUGGAACACUUUGGAAAAUGUGAUCACAGAGGGUGAUAAUCCCGUACAUGCAAGUUUAUGAAUCAUAGCAGUAUCCUGAGUAAGUCGGGACACGUGUAAUCCUGACCGAAUCCGCCGGGACCAUCCGGUAAGGCUAAAUACUCCAGAGAGACCGAUAGUGAACCAGUACCGUGAGGGAAAGGUGAAAAGCACUUCGAACAGAAGAGUGAAAUAGUCCCUGAACCCAUACGCCUACAAGCUGUCGGAGCCGCUUCGUGCGGUGACGGCGUGCCUUUUGCAUAAUGAGCCUACGAGUUACUCAUCACCAGCGAGGUUAAGUACUUCAGGUACGUAAGCCGAAGCGAAAGCGAGUCUGAAUAGGGCGUCAAGUUGGUGGUGGUAGACGCGAAACCUUAGUGAUCUACCCAUGGGCAGGGUGAAGGUUUGGUAACACAAACUGGAGGCCCGAACCGGUAAACGUUGAAAAGUUUUCGGAUGACCUGUGGGUAGGGGUGAAAGGCCAAUCAAACUGGGAAAUAGCUCGUACUCUCCGAAAUGCAUUUAGGUGCAGCCUCUGUUGUUUUGUUCUAGAGGUAGAGCUACUGAUUGGAUGCGAGGGCUUCACCGCCUAUCAAAUCCGGCCAAACUCCGAAUGCUAGAACAUGAAGACAGGGAGUGAGCCAGCGGGUGCUAAGGUCCGUUGACGAAAGAGGGAGAACUCAGACCAUCAGCUAAGGUCCCCAAUUAUAUGCUAAGUUGGAAUUAAAACGGGGUGGGACUGCUUAGACAGCUAGGAUGUUGGCUUGGAAGCAGCCAUUCAUUUAAAGAGUGCGUAACAGCUCACUAGUCGAGCGGUCCUGCAUGGAUAAUACGCGGGCAUAAGCAUAUAACCGAAGCUAUGGGAUUGUAGAUGAUACAAUCGGUAGGAGAGCAUUCCAUUCAGCAUAGAAGCAGUACCGUGAGGUAUUGUGGAGCGGAUGGAAAAGCAAAUGUAGGCAUAAGUAACGAUAAUGCGGGUGAGAACCCCGCACGCCGAAAGAUCAAGGAUUCCCCGGCAAUGUCAAUCAUCCGGGGGUAAGUCGGAUCCUAAGGGUAAGCCGAGUGGCGAUCCCGAUGGCAAACAGGUUAAUAUUCCUGUACUGAUCAUAACUGCGAUGCAGCGACGCAGAGGUGACACUGCUGCGUACUGACGGAAUAGUACGUUGAAACCCGUAUUCUUUGAUACCGGUAGUGAAGCACGCCGGUAGAGAUGAAAGGUGAUAGUACCGCAAUGCUUCGGUUGCGCGGAUAAUGCAGGUAAGCUGACUGCCAAGAAAACCUGCUAAGCUUCAGGUAAUGAUCAUCCGUACUGUAAACGGACACACGUGAUCAGGUAGAAAAUACUAAGGCGCUCGAGAGAUUCAUGGUUAAGGAACUAGGCAAAAUGGUCCUGUAACUUCGGGAUAAAGGACGCUCUUGUGAAAGAGCCGCAGAUAAUAGGCCCAGGCGACUGUUUACCAAAAACACAUGGCUAUGCUAAUUCGCAAGAAGAUGUAUAUGGCCUGACACCUGCCCGGUGCCGGAAGGUUAAGAGGAGAGCUCAGAGGCAACUCGAAGGUUUGAAUUGAAGCCCCGGUAAACGGCGGCCGUAACUAUAACGGUCCUAAGGUAGCGAAAUUCCUUGUCGGGU
RNAcentral lists this ribosomal RNA (1962 nucleotides) under human gut metagenome. RNAcentral describes it as "bacterial LSU rRNA". It matches the Rfam family "Bacterial large subunit ribosomal RNA", at positions 1 to 1977 of the family's 2925-position model. The record is from RNAcentral.